Molecule: long non-coding RNA, 589 nt
Organism: Tachysurus fulvidraco (yellow catfish)
Lineage: Eukaryota; Metazoa; Chordata; Actinopteri; Siluriformes; Bagridae
Exons: 2
Source: RefSeq, a predicted model, not a curated record
CAUCUACAGAAGGCCACACACAAAAAAUGAGAACUCAUAGAGUGAAAGGUCAUCUGAAGGAGAGAGAAUAAAGCUGCGUAGGUGCAGUCGGAUGAUGCAACUAAUGACAAUCUUUGUCAAAUAGAAAUCAGGUUAUAAAUGCUGCAGGUGGAUUUGGAUUUAGUUGCAUUCAGGGGUGGAUCCAUCUGAUCAAGCACGACUCCUCGUGACCCCCGGGACCAAUUUGGGCUCCGCACCUACAGCACGCGCCGGGUGAUCCGCGUAUUUUACAUUGUUUGGUUGUCCAGGAAACGCGCGACGCCGCCAUCUGUCACGUCCACGCGUGCCGCUGAUCUCCAUCGGACUCUCGUGUAUCACUAAAACAAUAUUUAGUGGCCAAAUGAAGAUGAAGAGCACCAGCGAUAAAAGUGGGCUUUAUUGCACAGAGCUGGUGCACACAAAAAGAAAAAAACAAAAAACAAACAACAAAAAAACGAAUAAAUAAAAACUGAAGUCAACAUUUAAAUAUAAAAAUCUAGUUUCACUAGAACUGCAUGUUGCAGUAAAUAUAUUAUUGUGGCUUAAGUGAAAUAAACAGUGAUGAACACUG